This 150-nucleotide unclassified non-coding RNA is filed under the name uncultured Ophiocordycipitaceae. Its description in RNAcentral is "sequence contains ITS2". The record is from RNAcentral. Lineage: Eukaryota; Fungi; Ascomycota; Sordariomycetes; Hypocreales.
CCACCCUCGAGCCCGCCUCGGCGCUGGGGGACGGCCCCGCGCCGCCCCCGAAAUGCAGUGGCGACCCCGCCGCGGCCUCCCCUGCGCAGUAGCUCACAGAGAACCUCGCACCGGACGCGCGGAGGCGGUCACGCCGUGAAACGCCCCACG